UGCAUAUCAAAUAAGCGGAGGAAAAGAAACCAACAGGGAUUGCCUUAGUAGCGGCGAGUGAAGCGGCAAAAGCUCAAAUUUGAAAUCUGGCACUUUCAGUGUCCGAGUUGUAAUUUGAAGAAGGUAUCUUUGGGUCUGGCUCUUGUCUAUGUUUCUUGGAACAGAACGUCACAGAGGGUGAGAAUCCCGUGCGAUGAGAUGUCCCAGACCUAUGUAAAGUUCCUUCGAAGAGUCGAGUUGUUUGGGAAUGCAGCUCUAAGUGGGUGGUAAAUUCCAUCUAAAGCUAAAUAUUGGCGAGAGACCGAUAGCGAACAAGUACAGUGAUGGAAAGAUGAAAAGAACUUUGAAAAGAGAGUGAAAAAGUACGUGAAAUUGUUGAAAGGGAAGGGCUUGAGAUCAGACUUGGUAUUUUGUAUGUUACUCUCUCGGGGGUGGCCUCUACAGUUUACCGGGCCAGCAUCAGUUUGAGCGGUAGGAUAAGUGCAAAGAAAUGUGGCACUGCUUCGGUAGUGUGUUAUAGUCUUUGUCGAUACUGCCAGCUUAGACUGAGGACUGCGGCUUCGGCCUAGGAUGUUGGCAUAAUGAUCUUAAGUCGCCCGUCUUGAACCAACGGACCA
This 617-nucleotide ribosomal RNA is filed under the name Lodderomyces parapsilosis. RNAcentral's name for it is "eukaryotic LSU rRNA". It matches the Rfam family "Eukaryotic large subunit ribosomal RNA", at positions 37 to 668 of the family's 3401-position model. The record is from RNAcentral. Lineage: Eukaryota; Fungi; Ascomycota; Pichiomycetes; Serinales; Debaryomycetaceae.